Molecule: long non-coding RNA, 921 nt
Organism: Osmerus eperlanus (European smelt)
Lineage: Eukaryota; Metazoa; Chordata; Actinopteri; Osmeriformes; Osmeridae
Exons: 3
Source: RefSeq, a predicted model, not a curated record
AUAAGCCAGUGUUUUUGUAGCUGUGAGACCCUGUCUAUAGAGCCUCUGGGGGGAUGAACCUCUACCGUCUCCUCUGCCUGUCCAUUCUCAGGAGCUGGAGGGACACAUCUCCAUGGUGAUGACCCAAGCAGGAGUGAGCCAGGACGAGACAGCGCGGGUGUGUGACCAGAUCUGGAACGAUCAGGAAUAGAACCCCAACAAACCUUCUAGGCUGAUCUCUACCGGGUCUCCUGAGGAACCUCCUGACAUCACAGGAGGCUCCAACAUUCACAGCAAGAUGUAGUUUCUGGGUACUUCUAUCAUAAACAUUAAAGCGACCUGGUUGGCUGUGAGUACUGGGAUGAAUAUGUACCAUCUUGUCUUGGUAGAGCAGUGAUUAGAGCAUUUGACUGCAGAUCAUGAGGUAGCAGAUUGUAAUCUGCCUUUGUACAUAAUUUCGGAUUAAACAGUCUGCUAAAUAAACACAUUAUUAUUAUUAUUAUUAUUGAUGUUUUAAAAUGACAACUUGCCACACAAGUGCAACUCAGUAGCAGGCCAACAUCAACCCAGGAUCCCACCCUCAGUGUACAGUACAAUAAGCCCCCUGCUCCAGACUUUACUCUGCAACAUCACCACCUCACAAGGACAGGGUGUUCAGGUCCACAACAUGUGGCACACAUAGCUAUCCACCCCCUCUCAUAAACAGCCACUAGAACAACUCCCAUAAAGUCUCCAACUCACACAGCUUUAUCAGGUCAGUUGACUAAAUCUGGUGUUUCUCUAUUAAAGCAUGAUAGGAUAAAUCCAUUUUUGUUAUCUUUCAUAGCAUAACUGGUUAUCAGCAUUAUUAAAGGCACAGUGUUACUUCACAUGAACAGUUUUAAGUUGUAUUCAUUUUGUAGAUGUUUUUACCCUAAAGGACAGUUUGUUCUCAUGGAAGGU